AAUAGAUACCCAGGUAGUCCACGCCGUAAACGAUGAGUGCUAAGUGUUAGGGGGUUUCCGCCCCUUAGUGCUGCAGCUAACGCAUUAAGCACUCCGCCUGGGGAGUACGGUCGCAAGACUGAAACUCAAAGGAAUUGACGGGGCCCGCACAAGCGGUGGAGCAUGUGGUUUAAUUCGAAGCAACGCGAAGAACCUUACCAGGUCUUGACAUCCCAUUGACCACUAUGGAGACAUAGUUUUCCCUUCGGGGACAACGGUGACAGGUGGUGCAUGGUUGUCGUCAGCUCGUGUCGUGAGAUGUUGGGUUAAGUCCCGCAACGAGCGCAACCCUUGUUCUUAGUUGCCAUCAUUUAGUUGGGCACUCUAAGGAGACUGCCGGUGACAAACCGGAGGAAGGUGGGGAUGACGUCAAAUCAUCAUGCCCCUUAUGACCUGGGCUACACACGUGCUACAAUGGACGGUACAAACGGUUGCCAACCCGCGAGGGGGAGCUAAUCCGAUAAAACCGUUCUCAGUUCGGAUUGUAGGCUGCAACUCGCCUACA
Molecule: ribosomal RNA, 544 nt
Filed under: uncultured bacterium
Lineage: Bacteria
Description: bacterial SSU rRNA
Rfam family: Bacterial small subunit ribosomal RNA
Source: RNAcentral